CUUGGUUUCUGUUAUUGUUUUGCUUUAUUGUCUUGCUUGUCUUUCCUUUUUUGUUCACUCUUUGAAUUACUAAUAACACACUAAUUAGUAAUUAAUGUAUCAUAUAAAGAAUCAAUCAUAUUUCAUACAAGAUUAUCUUCUUCAUCAUCACAAAUAGAAAUAACAAAAGGGGGAGAGUAAAAUCUAACUUGAGAGAAAUGCA
RNAcentral lists this long non-coding RNA (202 nucleotides) under Lupinus angustifolius (narrow-leaved blue lupine). RNAcentral's name for it is "long non-coding RNA (LANG_LNC001788)". Lineage: Eukaryota; Viridiplantae; Streptophyta; Magnoliopsida; Fabales; Fabaceae. The record is from RNAcentral.